This 7203-nucleotide long non-coding RNA is filed under the name Gossypium barbadense (sea-island cotton). RNAcentral describes it as "long non-coding RNA (GBAR_LNC016476)". The record is from RNAcentral. Lineage: Eukaryota; Viridiplantae; Streptophyta; Magnoliopsida; Malvales; Malvaceae.
CUACAAUUAUCAGCCAGGGAAAUAGGUAUUCAGCGCCAGGCUUUGGGGCUAAAGAGGUGACCUGUAGGGGCCUCUUAAAGCCGGGACAGUGGAAGAAUUGGAAUUGGGUAUCACAAGGUGACCACUUCGAGAACGGUGCCUUUUUUACACCAUCAGGUAAUCCAAGUGCCAGCAAGCAAUUUGGCGCCGACAAAAUGAUGCCUUUCAAACCUGGUCAAAUGGUCCCCGAACUCACAAAGUAUGCCGGACCACUAAGCUGCACAAUCGGCCGUCCUUGCUAAAAACUGCUAUUUUUAUAUGCAUAUGUCCUCCCUUUUUUACGUACAAUAUUUGAUACCCAAGCAUAGUACAUUUGGUAUCUUUUCUGAAUGAUUGUCAGUAAAUUUUCUUUUAUGCGAUCCCACCCUAUUCUCUUCUUCUCUCCUAGUAAUAGAUAAUCACAAUUUUUUUCUCACGCGUAACUGUGGAAAUCAUAAAUUUAGAACAUAAAUGUUUGUUUGAAAAUAACAUAUAAUGAAUAAUGAAAUGUGUGGUUUGAAAUAAAGUAACAAUAAUAACAUUGAUUAUCAUGGUGUUUUCAUCAAUCUUUAGUUGGUGUAGGCACCAAAUCAAUCAAAUACAUUAAUCUAACAUAUCUAGUAUAUAUAUUCUAUUGCAAGGUUUUUUUGGAUUUGUGGAAACCUUCAGUUUGAAGUGAGUUUAGAAUUCGCUAUGCGUCACCAAUCAUUUCAUGACAGGAAUGGAAAUUAAUGAAAUAAAAUAUUUGGUUAGAACUAAAGUUGCGUAAUUAAUUAAAAAUUUUAACAAUCGCGAGACCAUUUAGUUUCUAUAAAUUUUGUAUGUCCCAACUUACAUAUUCCGGGUAAUUAGUCAUUUGUCAAAACACAUCAAAGUGAGAAAAGAAAGAAACAAGAAUCAUGAGUCAUUCCUCAUAUAGUAAUAUUCGUAAUAAUGCAAUCGCAACGGUGAUUCCACCAGGUGUUCUUGCAUCACCAAGAACUAAAUUGAUUUUCUAGAACAAGAUUUAUAAUGGAGACAUCAAGUAUGUAUUUAAGGUUGUGUAUGAGUUAGAUUUCUUUAAGACUCAGCGGAGGGUCGGGGAGCCGCCCAAGACAUUGCUUUUACCAGUAUAAAGUCAACUACCGAAGCAAAAAAACUUGCAAAGCUGAGAGGACAUAGGAUUAAUAAUUCAGCACCUAUGUUUUGAGUUGCUCCAUAGUUGACGCAGUGGUAUUAGCUUAGUAAGGGCUUAAAUAAUCGUAUAGAUAUUUAUAAUUGAUGGACAUAAUAAAGUAUGCUUAACAAAUUUGAAAAUCAAAAAAGAAAAUCAAUGUCUUGGUACAGUGUUAAAUUUAUGGUUUUACUAGCAUAAUAAUUGAUUUGGGUUCAAAUCCCUUCGACAACAUAUUUUAUAUUCUUUUAAAACAAUAAGAAUUAAAAUAACCUUCAAUAAUAUAACUUAUUUUAAACAUGAAAGGAAUGUAUUUCUAAUUUCCGUAAUAGAGUCGAUGCUCGAUCGACUCAUGUCACCGAAUUAGUUAAGGACUUCAAUAAAUGUUAGUAUAGAUUGUAACAAUAAUGAAAUAUGCAUUAAAAAUCACCACAGAGGUUCAAUAUACACUCGAAUCUCUGUACUCUUUUAGACUUUUAAAAUUUGAAUACAUAGUACUUUUAUAUUCAAAGGUCCAAGUAAUAAAUUAGAGUCCAAUUCAUAUCACAUAUUCAGAUUUGAGAGAAAUAAAUAAACUCUCUUACCAAUUGAACUUUUAUUUUUUAAAUCAACCAAGUGCAAGGAUUAAAAUCUUGAAAUUGAAAGGAGAGAGGUUUCAUCUGGAAAUGUUGAAGAGUAAAGGGAUUGGAGGAUAAUUAGAGAUUUUUUUUUGUAAUUUCUGAAAUUAGACGUUUAGAAUGGUCUAAAAAAUACAAGAAAACCUCAACUGUUUCUAUCCAAAAAAAGGAAACAAAAUCCAACCAUUUUUUACGCACUUGAAACACUAGUAGCCAAGUGUGUUUUGUAAAUUUGGAAAUUUUCAUGAAUCCCGGUGUACUAUAAAUAGUGACAUAAUGAUGGUGUUCCAAGCAAAUCAUGCUCGAGUUCAAGUUUUUGGUGCCGUAGCUUGUCUCUCCUGUCCUAUUAGGGUCCUGUUUGCAUCCAACCAGUUGUUUCCAAGAGCUAGGCUUUGAUACUUAAAAUAAGAACCACUAUGGGUAUUUCUAGUUAUAGUUUCUUUCUGUUUUUAUUUGUUGUCAUAAUCCCAACCCUAGAAGCUCAUAUCGCUGAGUAUGACGAGUACUGGACGGCACGAGAAUUGGAAGCCAUUGAGAACCUGGACAAGGCCUAUCACUCCAACCCGGAGGAGGUGGUCCGCCAUUACAAUGACCACUUCUCUAGGACCAUGCUCGAGUUUUAUAUCACCAAAAGGGUGUUGGCAGAAUCAAAAAAGGGUCCCUGUGAGGUUACCAACCACGUUGACAGUUGCUGGCGAUGUGAUCCUGACUGGGAAAAGAAUAGGAAGAAGUUGGCCAACUGUGCCCCUGGAUUUGCUCGAGGUACUACCGGUGGAAAGGAUGGUGAGUUUUACGUGGUCACUGACCCUAUUGAUAAUGCUGCUGACCCCAAGCCUGGAACUCUGCGUCAUGCUGUCACCCAAACUGGACCACUUUGGAUCACUUUCAAAGGGUCCAUGACCAUCAAGCUGCAACAGGAGCUCAUUGUUACAAGUGAUAAGACCAUUGAUGCGAGGGGAGCCAAUGUGGAAAUUUGUAAUGGUGCUGGUAUCACUAUCCAAUUUGUGAAGAAUAUCAUUAUCCAUGGCCUUCAAAUCCAUCACAUUAUUCCCGCCAAGGGUGGCAAGAUCAAGGAUGGUGAAAACCACCAUGGGUUACGGGGUGACAGCGACGGAGACGGGGUGUCUAUUUUUGGAUCAACCAAUGUUUGGCUUGACCAUCUUGCCCUUCACCAUUGCGCCGAUGGCCUUAUCGAUGUCGUUCAAGGAUCAACUGCCGUUACCGUUUCUAACUGCCACUUCACUGACCAUAACGAUGUAAGCUUACUUUCCUUUCAAUUUUAAACUACGCACGAUGAGGAAUUUUUUGAUUGACAAAAAUAAUACAAUUGAAAUGAAAAAAAUUACAGGUGAUGUUGUUUGGAGCAAGCGACUCUUACAGUGCCGACAAGAAGAUGCAGGUCACUGUUGCUUUGAACCACUUCGGUAAAGGAUUGGUAGAGAGGAUGCCUAGGUGCCGAUUUGGUUUUAUUCAUGUCGUCAACAAUGACUACAAUCACUGGUUCCUGUAUGCCAUUGGCGGCACCAGCAACCCUACAAUUAUCAGCCAGGGAAAUAGGUAUUCAGCGCCAGGCUUUGGGGCUAAAGAGGUGACCUGUAGGGGCCUCUUAAAGCCGGGACAGUGGAAGAAUUGGAAUUGGGUAUCACAAGGUGACCACUUCGAGAACGGUGCCUUCUUUACACCAUCAGGUAAUCCAAGUGCCAGCAAGCAAUUUGGCGCCGACAAAAUGAUGCCUUUCAAACCUGGUCAAAUGGUCCCCGAGCUCACAAAGUAUGCCGGACCACUAAGCUGCACAAUCGGCCGUCCUUGCUAAAAAUGCUAUUUUUAUAUGCAUUUGUCCUCCCUUUUUUACGUACAAUAUUUGAUACCCAAGCAUAGUACAUUUGGUAUCUUUUCUGAAUGAUUGUCAGUAAAUUUUCUUUUAUGCGAUCCCACCCUAUUCUCUUCUUCUCUCCUAGUAAUAGAUAAUCACAAUUUUUUUCUCACGCGUGACUGUGGAAAUCAUAAAUUUAGAACAUAAAUGUUUGUUUGAAAAUAACAUAUAAUGAAUAAUGAAAUGUGUGGUUUGAAAUAAAGUAACAAUAAUAACAUUGAUUAUCAUGGUGUUUUCAUCAAUCUUUAGUUGGUGUAGGCACCAAAUCAAUCAAAUACAUUAAUCUAACAUAUCUAGUAUAUAUAUUCUAUUGCAAGGUUUUUUUGGAUUUGUGGAAACCUUCAGUUUGAAGUGAGUUUAGAAUUCGCUAUGCGUCACCAAUCAUUUCAUGACAGCAAUGGAAAUUAAUGAAAUAAAAUAUUUGGUUAGAACUAAAGUUGCGUAAUUAAUUAAAAAUUUUAACAAUCGCGAGACCAUUUAGUUUCUAUAAAUUUUGCAUGUCCCAACUUACAUAUUCGGGUAAUUAGUCAUUUGUCAAAACACAUCAAAGUGAGAAAAGAAAGAAACAAGAAUCAUGGUCAUUCCUCAUAUAGUUAUAUUCGUAAUAAUGCAAUCGCAACGGUGAUUCCACCAGGUGUUCUUGCAUCACCAAGAACUAAAUUGAUUUUCUAGAACAAGAUUUAUAAUGGAGACAUCAAGUAUGUAUUUAAGGUGGUGUAUGAGUUAGAUUUCUUUAAGACUCAGCGGGGGUCGGGGAGCCGCCCAAGACAUUGCUUUUACCAGUAUAAAGUCAAAUACCGAAGCAAAAAAACUUGCAAAGCCGAGAGGACAUAGGAUUAAUAAUUCAGCACCUAUGUUUUGAGUUGCUCCAUAGUUGACGCGUGGUAUCAGCUUAGUAAGGGCUUAAAUAAUCGUAUAGAUAUUUAUAAUUGAUGGACAUAAUAAAGUAUGCUUAACAAAUUUGAAAAUCAAAAAAGAAAAUCAAUGUCUUGGUACAGUGUUAAAUUUAUGGUUUUACUAGCAUAAUAAUUGAUUUGGGUUCAAAUCCCUUCGACAACAUAUUUUAUAUUCUUUUAAAACAAUAAGAAUUAAAAUAACCUUCAAUAAUAUAACUUAUUUUAAACAUGACAGGAAUGUAUUUCUAAUUUCCGUAAUAGAGUCGAUGCUCGAUCGACUCAUGUCACCGAAUUAGUUAAGGACUUCAAUAAAUGUUAGUAUAGAUUGUAACAAUAAUGAAAUAUGCAUUAAAAAUCACCACAGAGGUUCAAUAUACACUCGAAUCUCUGUACUCUUUUAGACUUUUAAAAUUUGAAUACAUAGUGCUUUUAUAUUCAAAGGUCCAAGUAAUAAAUUAGAGUCCAAUUCAUAUCACAUAUUCAGAUUUGAGAGAAAUAAAUAAACUCUCUUACCAAUUGAACUUUUAUUUUUUAAAUCAACCAAGUGCAAGGAUUAAAAUCUUGAAAUUGAAAGGAGAGAGGUUUCAUCUGGAAAUGUUGAAGAGUAAAGGGAUUGGAGGAUAAUUAGAGAUUUUUUUUGUAAUUUCUGAAAUUAGACGUUUAGAAUGGUCUAAAAAAUGCAAGAAAACCUCAACUGUUUCUAUCCAAAAAAAAGGAAACAAAAUCCAACCAUUUUUUACGCACUUGAAACACUAGUAGCCAAGUGUGUUUUGUAAAUUUGGAAAUUUUCAUGAAUCCCGGUGUACUAUAAAUAGUGACAUAAUGAUGGUGUUCCAAGCAAAUCAUGCUCGAGUUCAAGUUUUUGGUGCCGUAGCUUGUCUCUCCUGUCCUAUUAGGGUCCUGUUUGCAUCCAACCAGUUGUUUCCAAGAGCUAGGCUUUGAUACUUAAAAUAAGAACCACUAUGGGUAUUUCUAGUUAUAGUUUCUUUCUGUUUUUAUUUGUUGUCAUAAUCCCAACCCUAGAAGCUCAUAUCGCUGAGUAUGACGAGUACUGGACGGCACGAGAAUUGGAAGCCAUUGAGAACCUGGACAAGGCCUAUCACUCCAACCCGGAGGAGGUGGUCCGCCAUUACAAUGACCACUUCUCUAGGACCAUGCUCGAGUUUUAUAUCACCAAAAGGGUGUUGGCAGAAUCAAAAAAGGGUCCCUGUGAGGUUACCAACCACGUUGACAGUUGCUGGCGAUGUGAUCCUGACUGGGAAAAGAAUAGGAAGAAGUUGGCCAACUGUGCCCCUGGAUUUGCUCGAGGUACUACCGGUGGAAAGGAUGGUGAGUUUUACGUGGUCACUGACCCUAUUGAUAAUGCUGCUGACCCCAAGCCUGGAACUCUGCGUCAUGCUGUCACCCAAACUGGACCACUUUGGAUCACUUUCAAAGGGUCCAUGACCAUCAAGCUGCAACAGGAGCUCAUUGUUACAAGUGAUAAGACCAUUGAUGCGAGGGGAGCCAAUGUGGAAAUUUGUAAUGGUGCUGGUAUCACUAUCCAAUUUGUGAAGAAUAUCAUUAUCCAUGGCCUUCAAAUCCAUCACAUUAUUCCCGCCAAGGGUGGCAAGAUCAAGGAUGGUGAAAACCACCAUGGGUUACGGGGUGACAGCGACGGAGACGGGGUGUCUAUUUUUGGAUCAACCAAUGUUUGGCUUGACCAUCUUGCCCUUCACCAUUGCGCCGAUGGCCUUAUCGAUGUCGUUCAAGGAUCAACUGCCGUUACCGUUUCUAACUGCCACUUCACUGACCAUAACGAUGUAAGCUUACUUUCCUUUCAAUUUUAAACUACGCACGAUGAGGAAUUUUUUGAUUGACAAAAAUAAUACAAUUGAAAUGAAAAAAAUUACAGGUGAUGUUGUUUGGAGCAAGCGACUCUUACAGUGCCGACAAGAAGAUGCAGGUCACUGUUGCUUUGAACCACUUCGGUAAAGGAUUGGUAGAGAGGAUGCCUAGGUGCCGAUUUGGUUUUAUUCAUGUCGUCAACAAUGACUACAAUCACUGGUUCCUGUAUGCCAUUGGCGGCACCAGCAACCCUACAAUUAUCAGCCAGGGAAAUAGGUAUUCAGCGCCAGGCUUUGGGGCUAAAGAGGUGACCUGUAGGGGCCUCUUAAAGCCGGGACAGUGGAAGAAUUGGAAUUGGGUAUCACAAGGUGACCACUUCGAGAACGGUGCCUUCUUUACACCAUCAGGUAAUCCAAGUGCCAGCAAGCAAUUUGGCGCCGACAAAAUGAUGCCUUUCAAACCUGGUCAAAUGGUCCCCGAGCUCACAAAGUAUGCCGGACCACUAAGCUGCACAAUCGGCCGUCCUUGCUAAAAAUGCUAUUUUUAUAUGCAUUUGUCCUCCCUUUUUUACGUACAAUAUUUGAUACCCAAGCAUAGUACAUUUGGUAUCUUUUCUGAAUGAUUGUCAGUAAAUUUUCUUUUAUGCGAUCCCACCCUAUUCUCUUCUUCUCUCCUAGUAAUAGAUAAUCACAAUUUUUUUCUCACGCGUGACUGUGGAAAUCAUAAAUUUAGAACAUAAAUGUUUGUUUGAAAAUAACAUAUAAUGAAUAAUGAAAUGUGUGGUUUGAAAUAAAGUAACAAUAAUAACAUUGAUUAUCA